GCUACGUUGCGGCUCGUCAUCAGGCACUUUGCUUCGUUUCAAACGCAAGCUGCCUUUUGAAGGGCAACACCGUACU
RNAcentral lists this microRNA precursor (76 nucleotides) under Habropoda laboriosa. Its description in RNAcentral is "mir-980 microRNA precursor family". It matches the Rfam family "mir-980 microRNA precursor family". Lineage: Eukaryota; Metazoa; Arthropoda; Insecta; Hymenoptera; Apidae. The record is from Rfam by way of RNAcentral.